GCAGUCGAACGGGGAACUUUUUUAGCUUGCUUUAAAAGUUCCUAGUGGCGAACGGGUGAGUAACACGUGAGUUACCUGCCCUGAAGCGGGGGAUAGCCCGGGGAAACUCGGAUUAAUACCCUAUGUGAUCGCAAGAUUAAAGGCGGCUAUUUAUUUAGCUGUCGCUUCAGGAUGGGCUCGCGGCCUAUCAGCUAGUUGGCGGGGUAAAGGCCCACCAAGGCGAUGACGGGUAGCUGGUCUGAGAGGACGACCAGUCACACUGGAACUGAGACACGGUCCAGACACCUACGGGUGGCAGCAGUCGAGAAUCAUUCGCAAUGGACGAAAGUCUGACGGUGCGACGCCGCGUGGAGGAUGAAGGCCCUAGGGUCGUAAACUCCUGUCAUCAGGGAGUAAAAACUUACGUAGUAACUGACGUAGGUCUUGAUAGUACCUGAAGAGGAAGGGACGGCAAACUUCGUGCCAGCAGCCGCGGUAAUACGAAGGUCCCAAGCGUUGUUCGGAUUUACUGGGCGUAAAGAGUCUGUAGGCGGUAUGGUAAGUCAGAUGUGAAAUCCCGGGGCUCAACCCCGGAACUGCAUCCGAUACUGCCAUACUAGAGUAUUGGAGGGGAGUCUGGAAUUCUCGGUGUAGCAGUGAAAUGCGUAGAUAUCGAGAGGAACACUAGUGGCGAAGGCGAGACUCUGGACAAUAACUGACGCUGAGAGACGAAGGCCAGGGUAGCGAAAAGGAUUAGAUACCCUUGUAGUCCUGGCAGUAAACGGUGCACGCUUGGUGUGGGAAGGUUCGACCCUUUCCGUGCCGGAGCUAACGCGUUAAGCGUGCCGCCUGGGGAGUACGGUCGCAAGAUUAAAACUCAAAGAAAUUGACGGGGACCCGCACAAGCGG
RNAcentral lists this ribosomal RNA (888 nucleotides) under Roseibacillus ishigakijimensis. RNAcentral describes it as "bacterial SSU rRNA". It matches the Rfam family "Bacterial small subunit ribosomal RNA", at positions 57 to 932 of the family's 1533-position model. Lineage: Bacteria; Pseudomonadati; Verrucomicrobiota; Verrucomicrobiia; Verrucomicrobiales; Verrucomicrobiaceae. The record is from RNAcentral.